GGCGAGUAGCUCAGUUGGAUAGAGCGACGGAAGUAUAUCCUUUUUCACAAACUUACCCUUCGGGGACGGAGAAUUAGGUUUAUCGUCUUAAUCCGUGCGUCGCAGGUUCAAGUCCUGCCUCGCCACCA
Molecule: transfer RNA, 128 nt
Filed under: Rivularia sp. PCC 7116
Lineage: Bacteria; Bacillati; Cyanobacteriota; Cyanophyceae; Nostocales; Rivulariaceae
Description: tRNA-Und (NNN) (tRNA-Und-NNN-2-1)
Source: RNAcentral